Molecule: ribosomal RNA, 486 nt
Filed under: uncultured bacterium
Lineage: Bacteria
Description: bacterial SSU rRNA
Rfam family: Bacterial small subunit ribosomal RNA
Source: RNAcentral
GGCCGCGGGAAUUCGAUUCAGGCCUAACACAUGCAAGUCGAACGAACUCUGGUAUUGAUUGGUGCUUGCAUCAUGAUUUACAUUUGAGUGAGUGGCGAAAAAGGUGAGUAACACGUGGGAAACCUGCCCAGAAGCGGGGGAUAACACCUGGAAACAGAUGCCAAUACCGCAUAACAACUUGGACCGCAUGGUCCGAGUUUGAAAGAUGGCUUCGGCUAUCACUUUUGGAUGGUCCCGCGGCGUAUUAGCUAGAUGGUGAGGUAACGGCUCACCAUGGCAAUGAUACGUAGCCGACCUGAGAGGGUAAUCGGCCACAUUGGGACUGAGACACGGCCCAAACUCCUACGGGAGGCAGCAGUAGGGAAUCUUCCACAAUGGACGAAAGUCUGAUGGAGAAAGGCCGCGUGAGUGAAGAAGGGUUUCGGCUCGAAAUAUACGGGGUUAAAGAAGAACAUAUCUGAGAGUAACUGUUCAGGUAUGACGGUA